AAUGAUGAAUGUCAUAGAUUAGACAUAUAAUAGUUUAUUCUAUAAAUGAAAGUGUAAGCAUUCCACCUCAAGAGUAAUUUGGCAACAUUGGAACUGAAAUCAUUAGACCGUUUCUGAAACCAGUAGUGAAGUAUGUUGUUUAAUUUGAUAAUCCGCAAAAAACCUUACCACAAUUUGAAUAUUUAUAUUAUUUUUAUGCUCUAUUCAAUGAAAAGAAAAAAAAUGUAUUUACAAGCGUUGCACGGCUGUCUUCAGUUAAUGUCGUGAGACUUUGGUUAGUUCCAUUAAAUUAACGUAAACCCUCACUUUAUUUUUAUAUAAAGUAGUUCCCCACUAGAUUGGAUAAGAUAACAGGGACUAAGACAAGUCAUCAUGGCCUGAAUAUUGUGGGCUAUA
This 396-nucleotide ribosomal RNA is filed under the name Lecanora argentata. RNAcentral describes it as "partial small subunit ribosomal RNA". It matches the Rfam family "Bacterial small subunit ribosomal RNA", at positions 805 to 1218 of the family's 1533-position model. The record is from RNAcentral. Lineage: Eukaryota; Fungi; Ascomycota; Lecanoromycetes; Lecanorales; Lecanoraceae.